Molecule: ribosomal RNA, 498 nt
Filed under: uncultured bacterium
Lineage: Bacteria
Description: bacterial SSU rRNA
Rfam family: Bacterial small subunit ribosomal RNA
Source: RNAcentral
UCCUGGCUCAGAUUGAACCGCUGGCGGCAUGCCUUACACAUGCAAGUCGAACGGUAACAGGGAGCUUGCUCCGCUGACGAGUGGCGAACGGGUGAGUAAUAUAUCGGAACGUGCCCUAGAGGUGGGGGAUAACGUAGCGAAAGUUACGCUAAUACCGCAUACGAUCUACGGAUGAAAGUGGGGGAUCGCAAGACCUCAUGCUCAUGGAGCGGCCGAUAUCUGAUUAGCUAGUUGGUAGGGUAAAAGCCUUACCAAGGCUUCGAUCAGUAGCUGGUCUGAGAGGACGACCAGCCACACUGGGACUGAGACACGGCCCAGACUCCUACGGGAGGCAGCAGUGGGGAAUUUUGGACAAUGGGCGCAAGCCUGAUCCAGCCAUGCCGCGUGCGGGAAGAAGGCCUUCGGGUUGUAAACCGCUUUUGUCAGGGAAGAAAUCCUUUGAGUUAAUACCUCGGGGGGAUGACGGUACCUGAAGAAUAAGCACCGGCUAACUACGUG